GAAGCCUACGGGGGGCAGCAGUGGGGGAUAUUGCACAAUGGGGGGAACCCUGAUGCAGCGACGCCGCGUGGGUGAAGGAGCGUUUCGGCGCGUAAAUCCCUAUCGGCAGGGAAGAAGAUGACGGUACCUGACCAAGAAGCCCCGGCUAACUACGUGCCAGCAGCCGCGGUAAUACGUAGGUGGCGAGCGUUGUCCGGAAUUACUGGGUGUAAAGGGAGCGUAGGCGGGAGAGCAAGUCGACUGUGAAAUCUAUGGGCUUAACCCAUAGCUGCGAUCGAAAAUGUUCAUCUUGAGUGAAGUAGGGG
This 305-nucleotide ribosomal RNA is filed under the name uncultured bacterium. Its description in RNAcentral is "bacterial SSU rRNA". It matches the Rfam family "Bacterial small subunit ribosomal RNA", at positions 334 to 657 of the family's 1533-position model. The record is from RNAcentral.